Non-coding RNA from Potamilus streckersoni, 73 nucleotides. The record is from the annotation of a GenBank genome assembly. NCBI's taxonomy places the organism in Eukaryota, Metazoa, Mollusca, Bivalvia, Unionida, Unionidae.
GAUCCGGUGGCUUAGUGGUUAGAGCGUCCGCCUCUGAUUGGUAAAGUCCUGGGUUCGAACCCCGGCCGAGUCA